RNAcentral lists this ribosomal RNA (253 nucleotides) under uncultured bacterium. RNAcentral describes it as "partial 16S ribosomal RNA". It matches the Rfam family "Bacterial small subunit ribosomal RNA", at positions 524 to 776 of the family's 1533-position model. The record is from RNAcentral.
UACGUAGGGGGCAAGCGUUGUCCGGAUUUAUUGGGCGUAAAGAGCGUGUAGGCGGCUUGGUAGGUCUGCUGUGAAAACUCGAGGCUCAACCUCGAGCUGUCGGCGGAAACCACUUGGCUAGAGUCCGGAAGAGGAGAGUGGAAUUCCUGGUGUAGCGGUGAAAUGCGCAGAUAUCAGGAAGAACACCUAUGGCGAAGGCAGCUCUCUGGGACGGUACUGACGCUGAUGAGCGAAAGCUAGGGGAGCAAACGGG